CCUACGGGUGGCAGCAGUGAGGAAUAUUGGUCAAUGGACGAGAGUCUGAACCAGCCAAGUAGCGUGAAGGAUGACUGCCCUAUGGGUUGUAAACUUCUUUUAUAUGGGAAUAAAAUGUUCCACGUGUGGGCUUUUGUAUGUACCAUAUGAAUAAGGAUCGGCUAACUCCGUGCCAGCAGCCGCGGUAAUACGGAGGAUCCCAGCGUUAUCCGGAUUUAUUGGGUUUAAAGGGAGCGUAGGUGGAUUGUUAAGUCAGUUGUGAAAGUUUGCGGGUCAACCGGAAAAUUGCAGUUGAAACUGGCAGUCUUGAGUACAGGAGAGGUGGGCGGAAUUCGUGGUGUAGCGGUGAAAUGCUUAGAUAUCACGAAGAACUCCGAUUGCGAAGGUAGCUCACUGGACUGCAACUGACACUGAGGCUCGAAAGUGUGGGUAUCAAACAGGAUUAGAUACCCCGGUAGUC
RNAcentral lists this ribosomal RNA (460 nucleotides) under uncultured bacterium. Its description in RNAcentral is "partial 16S ribosomal RNA". It matches the Rfam family "Bacterial small subunit ribosomal RNA", at positions 338 to 795 of the family's 1533-position model. The record is from RNAcentral.